RNAcentral lists this unclassified non-coding RNA (234 nucleotides) under fungal sp. RNAcentral describes it as "partial internal transcribed spacer region". The stretch from base 1 to 46 matches the Rfam family "Eukaryotic small subunit ribosomal RNA", at positions 1786 to 1831 of the family's 1831-position model. Lineage: Eukaryota; Fungi. The record is from RNAcentral.
AAGUCGUAACAAGGUCUCCGUUGGUGAACCAGCGGAGGGAUCAUUACUAAGCAAGUUGAAAAACUGCUAAACCCUUGUGAAUAUACCUGUUAGUUGCUUCGGCGAGCAGCCCCAGGGCGGGGCCGCAGCCUUUUAUAGGUGCUCGCCGACAGCAGUAAAACUCUUAUUUUUACAGUUAUUCUGAGUUAUAAAACAAAUAAGUCAAAACUUUCAACAACGGAUCUCUUGGCUUUG